Non-coding RNA from Acanthopagrus latus (yellowfin seabream), 609 nucleotides. The record is from the annotation of a RefSeq genome assembly. NCBI's taxonomy places the organism in Eukaryota, Metazoa, Chordata, Actinopteri, Spariformes, Sparidae.
UGUUUCCUCAUCACUCCCUUUUCCUCCUCAACCUCAGUCCUCUCAGUCAUGUCUUCAGUUGAUUCUCGACGCGGAUAGCAACGUGAGAUUCCAGAAACUGACGUGCUGAUAAAAACAGUUUCAUGUGUCAUCUGAAGACUUUUUCAUUUGUUCUACAAUGCGUGACAAAGACUGUAUCAUCUGCCUUCUAGUUUUCUGUUGUCUGUCAGGUGUGUGUCUGGGUCUGCAGGUCCGUCAGUCUCACUCUGAUCUCAUCACAAAACCUGGUGACACAGUGCAGAUUUUCUGCAGCCAUGACAAAACUGACUACAGAGUGAUGCUCUGGUACCAGCGGCCACCUGGAGACAUAGCUAUGAAGCUCAUCGGACAUUUGUACAGCAAAGCUGUUACAAUGGAAGAUCCGUAUAAAGAGAGUUUUAAUAUAUCUGGAGAUCUGAGUGGGACUACAGGAAAGAAUGGUUCUCUUAUAAUCAAAGCUGUGGGACAGGAGGACAGUGCAGUUUACUACUGUGCAGCCAGAGAAGCACGCUGACAAAAAUCCCCUCUGAACUGUACAAAAACUCUGAUAAUGGUUUCUGAAUGAGACAGAAUCCCAGACACCUGCUGCUG